Molecule: transfer RNA, 94 nt
Filed under: Streptomyces sp. NE5-10
Lineage: Bacteria; Bacillati; Actinomycetota; Actinomycetes; Kitasatosporales; Streptomycetaceae
Description: tRNA-Arg
Source: RNAcentral
GCUGUCUGCGGCCGGGGGGCUGCGGCGGCGGGUACGCCUCGGGCGUGCCGUAGAGGUCGGGCUGCUGGCCGCCGUACGGAUCGGCGGGCGGCGC